This 509-nucleotide ribosomal RNA is filed under the name uncultured bacterium. Its description in RNAcentral is "partial 16S ribosomal RNA". It matches the Rfam family "Bacterial small subunit ribosomal RNA", at positions 30 to 543 of the family's 1533-position model. The record is from RNAcentral.
GACGAACGCUGGCGGCGUGCUUAACACAUGCAAGUCGAACGGAAAGGCCCUGCUUUUGUGGGGUGCUCGAGUGGCGAACGGGUGAGUAACACGUGAGUAACCUGCCCUUGACUUUGGGAUAACUUCAGGAAACUGGGGCUAAUACCGGAUAGGAGCUCCUGCUGCAUGGUGGGGGUUGGAAAGUUUCGGCGGUUGGGGAUGGACUCGCGGCUUAUCAGCUUGUUGGUGGGGUAGUGGCUUACCAAGGCUUUGACGGGUAGCCGGCCUGAGAGGGUGACCGGCCGAGGUGGGACGUGGAGGCGCGGCAGUCCACUGGGGGAGGGGGCAGGGGGGAAUAGGGCACGGGGGGCGGGAGACGGAGGCAGCGCGGCCGCGUGCGGGACGAGGGGCGUCGGUUUGUAAGCCGCUUUCGCCGUGGCGGGAGCGGGGGGGACGGAGGUGAGAAAAGGAGCACCGGUUAACGCCGCGCCGGCGGCCGCGGUAAUAUUAGGAACAGCAAACGUCGGAAC